CUCUUUCUCCCGGCGCUCCUCCUCCGCAUCCCUCACCCCUCGUCCCUCCCCCACGCGCCGGGAUCGGACAGACAGGGUUCUCAAGGAUGUGGUGAAAACCUGCAUGUGUUUCCUGUCCGUGAUCCAAUGAUAUAUACAUGUAUCCUGUCACAUAAUGAAGGAUGCACCUUGCCACCAUAAUGUCUACAGUUAAAGAAGCCUGAAGUGAAAGUCAGUUAAAGGUCAUUCCCACCACAACUCUGCAAGGCAAGACUGAAUCCUCCUUGGUUUUCUACUUGGCUGCAGUGGGAAAAAAUGUUCUAAGUUGUUAAUACUGCAGAUGAGUGGAGAAAACGUGACGGACAGCAACUAAGCAAUUGAAACAAAGCUGAGCAGACCAUGCCUCGUCAUGCGUAAAACCAUUAAUAUAAUUACAGCACCAGAGAUCAAAGGCAAGGUUUGGAGAAAUUUAUUCAACUGCUUUUAUAGAAAGGUAAGAUUUUAAUAUUUCAGUUUUGUAGAAAGUCUCACUUGAACAAUCUAAGGACUUCUUAUCAAGUGAAUCUGAAUCUAUUAAAAUGGCAUCAAAGACAGUAGAGAUAUAUUUGGUGGUAUUUGCUGAAAUAUAAUCGUGGAAGAGUACUAGCACCCAAGACUGUUGCUCAUGACAAACUAUGUUUUAUAAUAAUUGACAAACCUUAUUAAUUUAGAAAUAGCUAGCUAUUUGUUAAUUGUUCAUGAUGUUAUGAAUACCCAGAGUCCAAAUGAGAAAUGGUCAAGGACAUACACAAGAGGGAAAAAUUAUCUUAGUGCUGU
Molecule: non-coding RNA, 795 nt
Organism: Cricetulus griseus (Chinese hamster)
Lineage: Eukaryota; Metazoa; Chordata; Mammalia; Rodentia; Cricetidae
Source: RefSeq, a predicted model, not a curated record